This is a long non-coding RNA of Lagopus leucura (white-tailed ptarmigan), 295 nucleotides long. RefSeq lists it as uncharacterized. Lineage: Eukaryota; Metazoa; Chordata; Aves; Galliformes; Phasianidae. The record is from RefSeq and is a predicted model, not a curated record. The transcript is spliced from 3 exons.
UACGUGGUUAAGAGUCUGGAAGAACGGAUACUGCCUGGCAUCACUUCACUCAUGAUACUGGAGGCUUCAUAGGCUCCAAACCUUGCAUGUGGACAUAGGGUUUACAGAAUAGCCAGAUGUGUUGAAUUCUGGAAAACAUGCUAUGUUUCUGAAGUAGGAAUUUUUGUGAAUUUAAGGAAAUGAUGCAAGAUAAGAUAUGAUUCUGAAGAAAAUCCGCAACAAGAAAAUAUUAUAGCAAAAAAACAGGAGUCAGUACCUGAUCUGGAGAUCGUAGCCUGGAUCAACCUAAGAUGGU